CGUAAACAAAGGUUUCCGUAGGUGAAACCUGCGGAAGGGAUCAUUAAUUAUGUUAAAGCGCCUUACCUCUUAGGGUUUCCUCUGGGGUAAGUGAUUGCUUCUACACUGUGAAAAUUUGGCUGAGAGACUCAGACUGGUCAUGGGUAGACCUAUCUGGGGUUUGAUCGAUGCCACUCCUGGUUUCAGGAGCACCCUUCAUAAUAAACCUAGAAAUUCAGUAUUAUAAAGUUUAAUAAAAAACAACUUUUAACAAUGGAUCUCUUGGUUCUCGCAUCGAUGAAGAACGUAGCAAAGUGCGAUAACUAGUGUGAAUUGCAUAUUCAGUGAAUCAUCGAGUCUUUGAACGCAGCUUGCACUCUAUGGUUUUUCUAUAGAGUACGCCUGCUUCAGUAUCAUCACAAACCCACACAUAACAUUUGUUUAUGUGGUAAUGGGUCGCAUCGCUGUUUUAUUACAGUGAGCACCUAAAAUGUGUGUGAUUUUCUGUCUGGCUUGCUAGGCAGGAAUAUUACGCUGGUCUCAGGAUCUUUUUCUUUGGUUCGCCCAGGAAGUAAAGUACAAGAGUAUAAUCCAGCAACUUCAAACUAUGAUCUGAAGUCAGUG
This 603-nucleotide ribosomal RNA is filed under the name Rhizopus arrhizus. RNAcentral's name for it is "eukaryotic LSU rRNA". The stretch from base 242 to 395 matches the Rfam family "5.8S ribosomal RNA". The record is from RNAcentral. Lineage: Eukaryota; Fungi; Mucoromycota; Mucoromycetes; Mucorales; Rhizopodaceae.